UACCUGCAGCUCGAGUGGUAACCGCUAUUAUUGGGCCUAAAGCGUCCGUAGCCGGUUUGGUAAAUAUCUGGGUAAAUCGUGAGGCUUAACUUCACGAAUUUCGGAUAGACUACCAGACUUGGGAUCGGGGGAGGUCAGAGGUACUCCAGGGGUAGCGGUGAAAUGUUGUAAUCCUUGGAGGACCACCGGUAGCGAAGGCGUCUGACUAGAACGAGUCCGACGGUGAGGGACGAAGCCCUGGGGCGCAAACCGGAUUAGAUACCCGGGUAGUCCAGGGUGUAAACGAUGUGGGCUUUGUAUUGGAGGUCCCACGUGGGCGUCCAGUGCAGAAGAGAAGUUGUUAAGCCCACCGCCUGGGAAGUACGGUCGCAAGGCUGAGACUUAAAGGAAUUGGCGGGGGAGCACCACAAGGCGUGAAGCUUGCGGUUC
RNAcentral lists this ribosomal RNA (429 nucleotides) under uncultured archaeon. RNAcentral's name for it is "bacterial SSU rRNA". It matches the Rfam family "Archaeal small subunit ribosomal RNA", at positions 474 to 903 of the family's 1478-position model. The record is from RNAcentral.